This 84-nucleotide transfer RNA is filed under the name Natrialba magadii ATCC 43099. Its description in RNAcentral is "tRNA-Gly (GCC) (tRNA-Gly-GCC-2-1)". It matches the Rfam family "tRNA". From Rfam's summary of the family: Transfer RNA (tRNA) molecules are approximately 80 nucleotides in length. Their secondary structure includes four short double-helical elements and three loops (D, anti-codon, and T loops). The record is from RNAcentral. Lineage: Archaea; Methanobacteriati; Methanobacteriota; Halobacteria; Halobacteriales; Natrialbaceae. RNAcentral also lists the same sequence under 1 other name.
GGAAGGGUCGCUCAGCGGUAGAGCAUCGCGGUGCCACCGCGACGGCAGCACAUGCCUCGUGGCGUUCAAAUCCCACCCCUUCCG